GUGUGUGUGUGUGUGUGUGUGUGUGUGUGUGUGUGUGUGCGUGCGUGCUUGUUAUUCACACGUAUUUCAAGAUUUAAAGUAAUGGUAGUUAAUGGAUAUUUCAGACGAAAUUAUUGCAAGAGUUAAUAAUAAUUACAAAUGAAUUAUUUUAUCUUUCAGGAGAUCAUUUCCAUUAAUCUUGACUAACAGAAUGAUGCCAUUUUCAGGUCGUGUGGGAGGUGGCAGCUGUGUCCGAACACCGGCAACCUUCCAAUCACUCUGCGUGAUGAGCAUUCCUAAUUGGGUCCCAUUAAGAGUGAUCUAAUUGCCCACCAUUUCAGCAUCUUCCAGAUCGUCUCCUUACGUCUCUCACCGAGUGAAGAACAGAACUCCCACCGGAUAAGGACUGCGAGAACCAACCAAGAAAUGAAAAUCAUAUUUUUUUGCCCAUAGACGGCUCCCCGGUUAGCGAGGUAUAGAGUUCCUACGUGGCAACAACCGUAGGAACUUCAUACCGUGCUCUUUGGGAGAGUCUCAAAUCAUCAAGGGUAGAAAAUAUCAGAAAACUCACGAAAACUCACCAGAAGUUGCAAGAAAUCCGUUCUUCAGCGGGGGAACUUAAGCUGCGCUUCGUGGUUCUUAAGAACAAAGAAAUAAGUACUGUCCUAGUUGUCUUUACAAGGUUUAUGCUUGCUAUUCUAUGAUAUAGAAAGAAAGGGAGAAUUGAAAAAUGUGAAGAAUAACAGGGAAGUAGGGAGAUGGAAUGGAAGAACAGGAAAAAUGGGAGGGAAUGGGGAGGAGGGCCAAGGGAGGGAUAGAGGGAGGAAAGGGGGUGGGGAAGGGAGGGUGAAAGAGGGAGGGGGGAGGGCAAGAGACCCGCGAAACACCGGGUAGCCCCAAAUGACUGUAAUCAUAUACCUUCCAAGUGCUAAUUAACUUACCUACUGUAAUAGGGAUAGUCUUCCUUGUCAUGUAUUUGAAAUUUAACAUUUUUAAAAGACUGAACAGUCUGAACAAAAUAUAUAUAUUAUAAAUGUAUAGUUCGAAGGCGUUGUCACUUCUUAAAAUAAACCUGUUGUAUUUGCUG
Non-coding RNA from Procambarus clarkii (red swamp crayfish), 1066 nucleotides. The record is from RefSeq and is a predicted model, not a curated record. Lineage: Eukaryota; Metazoa; Arthropoda; Malacostraca; Decapoda; Cambaridae.